ACCCUUUCUUCGCCUUUUGGCUAGGAUCAAGUGUAGUAUAUGUUCUAAUCAGUUUAAUCUGAUAUGUGAACCGUCGGCUCACAUGAGAUUAAUUUCUUGUGGGGGAUGGUCCACCACAGCAGCUUGCUACUGGGGCAGUCGGGCAUCGCCCUUUCAUUCCACUACUGCAUGGGCCUGGCACACCCUCC
This is a small nuclear RNA of Magnolia sinica, 188 nucleotides long. RefSeq annotates it as U2 spliceosomal RNA. NCBI's taxonomy places the organism in Eukaryota, Viridiplantae, Streptophyta, Magnoliopsida, Magnoliales, Magnoliaceae. The record is from RefSeq and is a predicted model, not a curated record. The transcript has a single exon.